This 305-nucleotide small RNA is filed under the name Ursus maritimus (polar bear). RNAcentral's name for it is "7SK RNA (ENSUMAG00000004823.1)". The stretch from base 160 to 305 matches the Rfam family "7SK RNA", at positions 186 to 331 of the family's 331-position model. Lineage: Eukaryota; Metazoa; Chordata; Mammalia; Carnivora; Ursidae. The record is from RNAcentral.
GGAUACCAGGAUGGUGUCCCAAGUCAGGCUCCCUGCUCAGCGGGAAGCCUGCUUCUCCCUCUCCCUCUGCUUGUGUUCCCUCUCUUGCUGUGUCUCUGUCAAAUAAAUAAAAUCUUAAAAAAAAAAAAAAAAAGUUCUAGAUCUGGGGGGGAAAAAAAAAAGGAUGUGCAAGUAGCUACACUCCCCUGCUAGAAUGCCCAAACAAGCUCUUAAGGUCCAUUUAUAGGAGAAUAUAGGGCAGUCAAGAUUCCAAGACUUCAGACACAUCCAAACGAGGUGCUGCAUGUGGCAGCCUGCCUUUCUUU